This 253-nucleotide ribosomal RNA is filed under the name uncultured bacterium. RNAcentral describes it as "partial 16S ribosomal RNA". It matches the Rfam family "Bacterial small subunit ribosomal RNA", at positions 524 to 776 of the family's 1533-position model. The record is from RNAcentral.
UACGUAGGGUGCAAGCGUUGUCCGGAAUUAUUGGGCGUAAAGAGCUCGUAGGCGGUUUGUCGCGUCUGCCGUGAAAGUCCGGGCUCAACUCCGGAUCUGCGGUGGGUACGGGCAGACUAGAGUGAUGUAGGGGAGACUGGAAUUCCUGGUGUAGCGGUGAAAUGCGCAGAUAUCAGGAGGAACACCGAUGGCGAAAGGCAGGUCUCUGGGCAUUAACUGACGCUGAGGAGCGAAAGCAUGGGGAGCGAACAGG